Acanthosepion pharaonis is the source of this 87-nucleotide non-coding RNA. The record is from the annotation of a GenBank genome assembly. Lineage: Eukaryota; Metazoa; Mollusca; Cephalopoda; Sepiida; Sepiidae.
CUUCCUGUAUGAUCACUGAAGUUAAGUAAUGUUGAGCCUAGCCAGUACCAAGAUGGGUGACCAUUUAGGAAUACCAGGUGCUGUAAG